AUGUUUAACUCACAUGCUGAUUAUGUUUUCAAACAACUACGAGUCGUCUUAGAUAGCUGUAACAUGUAUAUGCAACUUUCGGUUCCACAUUCAACUACUCAUUUUGCAUUACCACAUUCAUCAUGUGCCCUUUGGGAUACUUACGAGAAGAAGGAAGAUGAGGCCUACUUCCUUGCUUCAGAAGAAAAUAGAAGUCCUGAUAAGAUUGCCCCAUUUCUGUUAAGCCAGACCAACGCGCAUGGGAUUAUCAUCCUCACUCAACGCAUCUUUGUAAUGUACUCCCUCCGUCCUGUAAUGUAA
Molecule: ribosomal RNA, 300 nt
Filed under: Triticum aestivum (bread wheat)
Lineage: Eukaryota; Viridiplantae; Streptophyta; Magnoliopsida; Poales; Poaceae
Description: partial small subunit ribosomal RNA
Source: RNAcentral